Molecule: ribosomal RNA, 322 nt
Filed under: Gracilibacillus orientalis
Lineage: Bacteria; Bacillati; Bacillota; Bacilli; Caryophanales; Bacillaceae
Description: bacterial LSU rRNA
Rfam family: Bacterial large subunit ribosomal RNA
Source: RNAcentral
CUGGGUUCAGAACGUCGUGAGACAGUUCGGUCCCUAUCCGUCGUGGGCGUUGGAAGUUUGAGAGGAGCUGUCCUUAGUACGAGAGGACCGGGAUGGACAUACCGCUGGUGUACCAGUUGUUCCGCCAGGAGCAUCGCUGGGUAGCUACGUGUGGAAGGGAUAAGUGCUGAAAGCAUCUAAGCAUGAAGCCCCCCUCAAGAUGAGACUUCCCAUCUAUUCGAUAGAGUAAGAUCCCUCAGAGACGAUGAGGUAGAUAGGUUCGAGGUAGAAGCGUGGUGACAUGUGAAGCUGACGAAUACUAAUAGAUCGAGGGCUUAACUAU